This 468-nucleotide ribosomal RNA is filed under the name uncultured bacterium. RNAcentral describes it as "partial 16S ribosomal RNA". It matches the Rfam family "Bacterial small subunit ribosomal RNA", at positions 28 to 507 of the family's 1533-position model. The record is from RNAcentral.
GACGAACGCUGGCGGUGUGCUUAACACAUGCAAGUCGAACGGUAAGGCCCUUUCGGGGGUACACGAGUGGCGAACGGGUGAGUAACACGUGAGUAACCUGCCCUCAUCUCUGGGAUAACAGUCGGAAACGGUUGCUAAUACUGGAUAUGAGCUUGCAAGGCAUCUUGUGGGUUGGAAAGAUUUUUUUUGGUUGGGGAUGGACUCGCGGCCUAUCAGCUUGUUGGUGAGGUAGUGGCUCACCAAGGCUUCGACGGGUAGCCGGCCUGAGAGGGCGACCGGCCACAUUGGGACUGGGAUACGGCCCAAACUCCUACGGGAGGCAGCAGUGGGGAAUAUUGCACAAUGGACGGAAGUCUGAUGCAGCAACGCCGCGUGCGGGAUGACGGCCUUCGGGCUGUAAACCGCUUUCAAUUGUGACGAAGCUUUUUUGUGACGGUAGCAGUAGAAGAAGCACCGGCUAACUACGUG